AACGAACGCUGGCGGCACGUUUUAAGCAUGCAAGUCGAAUGGCAGCAGGGGCAACUCUGUGAGAAUGGCGAGCGGGUGAGUAACACGUAGGUGAUCUGCCUUGAGGAUGGGGAUAGCCUGUGGAAACACAGGGUAAUACCGAAUGAGCUGACGAGACUUUGGUUUUGUUAGUAAAGGUGCUACGGCACCGCCUUGAGAGGAGCCUGCGGCUGAUUAGCUAGUUGGUGGGGUAAGAGCUUACCAAGGCGACGAUCAGUAGCCGGCCUGAGAGGGGGACCAGCCACGCUGGAACAGAGACACGGGCCAGGCUCCUGCGGGAAGCAGCAGCUAAGAAUCUUCCGCAAUGGGCGAAAGCCUGACGGAGGGAUGCCGCGUGAGAGAUGAAGGUCGAGAGAUUGUAAAGAUCUUUUCUACAUGAGGAAUAAGUCUGGGAGGGAAUGCCCGGAUGAUGACGUUAGUGUAGGAAUAAGCCCCGGCUAAUUACGUGCCAGCAGCCGCCGUAA
RNAcentral lists this ribosomal RNA (503 nucleotides) under uncultured bacterium. RNAcentral's name for it is "partial 16S ribosomal RNA". It matches the Rfam family "Bacterial small subunit ribosomal RNA", at positions 29 to 523 of the family's 1533-position model. The record is from RNAcentral.